GAUGAACGCUGGCGGCGUGCCUAAUACAUGCAAGUCGAGCGAACGGACGAGAAGCUUGCUUUUCUGAUGUUAGCGGCGGACGGGUGAGUAACACGUGGAUAACCUACCUAUAAGACUGGGAUAACUUCGGGAAACCGGAGCUAAUACCGGAUAAUAUUUUGAACCGCAUGGUUCAACAGUGAAAGACGGUCUUGCUGUCACUUAUAGAUGGAUCCGCGCUGCAUUAGCUAGUUGGUAAGGUAACGGCUUACCAAGGCAACGAUGCAUAGCCGACCUGAGAGGGUGAUCGGCCACACUGGAACUGAGACACGGUCCAGACUCCUACGGGGGGCAGCAGUAGGGAAUCUUCCGCAAUGGGCGAAAGCCUGACGGAGCAACGCCGCGUGAGUGAUGAAGGUCUUCGGAUCGUAAAACUCUGUUAUUAGGGAAGAACAUAUGUGUAAGUAACUGUGCACAUCUUGACGGUACCUAAUCAGAAAGCCACGGCUAACUACGUG
RNAcentral lists this ribosomal RNA (497 nucleotides) under uncultured bacterium. Its description in RNAcentral is "partial 16S ribosomal RNA". It matches the Rfam family "Bacterial small subunit ribosomal RNA", at positions 28 to 507 of the family's 1533-position model. The record is from RNAcentral.